Molecule: ribosomal RNA, 253 nt
Filed under: uncultured bacterium
Lineage: Bacteria
Description: partial 16S ribosomal RNA
Rfam family: Bacterial small subunit ribosomal RNA
Source: RNAcentral
UACGAGGGGGGCGAGCGUUGUUCGGAAUUAUUGGGCGUAAAGGGUGCGUAGGCGGUUUGGUAAGUCUUGUGUGAAAUCUACAGGCUCAACUUGUAGUCUGCACGAGAAACUGCCGGGCUUGAGUAUGGGAGAGGUGAGUGGAAUUCCUGGUGUAGCGGUGAAAUGCGUAGAUAUCAGGAGGAACACCGGUGGCGAAGGCGGGUCUCUGGGCCGAUAUUGACGCUGAGGAGCGAAAGCGUGGGGAGCGAACAGG